RNAcentral lists this long non-coding RNA (1522 nucleotides) under Helianthus annuus (common sunflower). RNAcentral describes it as "hypothetical non coding rna". Lineage: Eukaryota; Viridiplantae; Streptophyta; Magnoliopsida; Asterales; Asteraceae. The record is from RNAcentral.
UUUUUCAUUGGACCAAACUUCUCCCCCAAUUAAACCCUGGUUCUUUUUGCACGCUCCUUCUUUGGAGAUCCAAACGGUGUAUGGAGAAAUGCAGCCGAUAUCCACUCUUCUUUAAAUAGUUCAUCAUCAUCUAAAGAUAUCAUCAUCAUCGUUGACGUGAAGAGCUCCAAUCGCCACUGAAUCCACCGCCUCUGACCGAUUUCAAUGACAAUCGACUUUCAAAACCCUAGAUCGCAACUGGAAUCUUGUGAUAGCUUAUAACGACUGCUAUGUGGAGCCUCUUUUUAGGCAUUUGCAAACUUGAAAACGGAUUAUCGGAGCGACUAUCCGACGAUUCCAACUUCUAAGUCUCCAGCUAAGGGUUUUAUUGAUGGUUAUUUGAACUAUGUGUGUUAAUUAUUCUUCAUAUGUCAAAUUUUAUACAGGGGACUCAUAUCUUAUUUUGAAGGAACUGUGUUAAAUUUUUAAGUUUUGUCUCUGUAUGAAAUGAAAUCAGAAGUAACCUAUGAAACGUAUUGAUAACUUCAACUGAAGUAACCUAGUUGAGGCGUACACGAAACCAGUGGCGGAACUAGAAGAAAUAUUCAGGGGUAUCCCAAAUUUUUUUACGAUACAUUUAUAGAACAGAAUUUUUUUUACCUGCAUUACGGGGCGGGGCCGAUCCUGAAAAUUCAAGUGCCCUGGGUGAGAAAAAAAAAGGCCCUUAGAGCACACGGGGCACCCACGUUAUUUUAUCACCGGAACAAAUCAUCACGCGUUAAACUUCCAUUUUCCCACCCCCACAAGAAACUAUAACGCGUUAUAGUAUAACGAAAACAUGAUUUCGUGAAUUUUUCCACGCCGUGAUGGUUUUAUUUGUGAGGGUAUUUGUUGGUUGGGGGGAAAUUGUUGGGUGUGGUGAUGAGUGAUGACCACCCCCACUAAAAAGGUUGUGAGUGAUGGAAAAAUGGUCGAUGACAUGGCGGAACUUGAUUGGUGCUUGUGAGUGAUAAAUUCUAUCACUAGUGAACCACCCCCCCCCCCUCCCCUUAGGCCUUAGACCAUGUGUAGUGGUUAAGAAAAAUAAUGCCUCCACCAUGGGGCAUUAUCCGACACGUGGCAGUCCAGUCAGCAUGGGGCGUUAUUGCAAAAGUGGCGUAGUGGGAAUAAUGCCUAAUAAUCCCUUUUAGGCGUUUUUUUAUAAAAAAAAAUAAAAAAAAAACCAAGCUAGUUUCUCAUUGGCCAGUCAACCCAUCACAAUCUCUUUUAGGCGUGGUUUUAAAAGCGCCAAGCAAAUUUUUUUCAAAAAAACUGCCCCAUAACGCCCUAUAUAAUGGGGAGGGGGGCGUUUUUUUUUUGGAUUUUUUUUCAAAAAUAAUGCCCCACUACGGGUGGUCUUACCGAAUUAAAUUUUAUAAAGUAGUUUUUUUUAAGUUAUUAGUAUUUAGGUUAACGAAUCAAUAUUGAGCAUAUCACAUUUGGGCUAGGCUUUAUGAAUUAAUAUUGACAAUAAGUUUUUAGAUAUUAGAUUGGGCUAGUUUUU